CGUGCCAGCAGCCGCGGUAAUACGAAGGGGGCUAGCGUUGCUCGGAAUCACUGGGCGUAAAGGGCGCGUAGGCGGCGUUUUAAGUCGGGGGUGAAAGCCUGUGGCUCAACCACAGAAUGGCCUUCGAUACUGGGACGCUUGAGUAUGGUAGAGGUUGGUGGAACUGCGAGUGUAGAGGUGAAAUUCGUAGAUAUUCGCAAGAACACCGGUGGCGAAGGCGGCCAACUGGACCAUUACUGACGCUGAGGCGCGAAAGCGUGGGGAGCAAACAGGAUUAGAUACCCUGGUAGUCCACGCCGUAAACGAUG
This 308-nucleotide ribosomal RNA is filed under the name uncultured bacterium. Its description in RNAcentral is "bacterial SSU rRNA". It matches the Rfam family "Bacterial small subunit ribosomal RNA", at positions 504 to 811 of the family's 1533-position model. The record is from RNAcentral.